UAAGUCUUUUUAACCCCUCACUACAAAUCCAAAGAGUCAGUGGGUUUGAUCUUUCUUUUUCUCUUUAUUCCACAGUGGGUACCAGAUUUGAUGCUGCAACGGUAGAUGAAGAGUUAGUGAAAUCAUACAGAGAAAAGCAAAAGGCGAAAACAGAGAAAAUUCUUGAUGAGUACCUCAGAAUUUGCCUGAAGAAAGGGGUAUGUGUUGAUGAGUACCUCAGAAUUUGCCUCAGUAAACCGAAUGGGAUCCGAAAUUACCUUGAAUAUUAGCCGUUCCCAACUUUGUUACCUAAACUGAACCGAAAACCGAAUUAACUGAACUAAAUUUUUUAAAUAUCGGAAUAGAUCCUAACCCUCUAGAACUGAAAGAACCAAACCGAAAACCAAAUGCCAGCUAAUACAUAUACUCAUGAGAUAUGAAGUAUGUGUCAUUUCUAAGGAGAUUUGUUUUUGCAGGUCCAUGCAGAGAAGCUGUGCGUUGAUAUGGACUCCAUAGAGAAGGGGAUUGUGAAGAUGAUACAUGAGAAUAAAGUCAGGAAGUUUAUAAUGGGAGCAGCUGCAGACAAACACUAUUCAACGUAUUGUGUUCUCUUAGGCUUCACCUGUUUCUUUUUUUAUUCAUCUUGAAUUUGACAUUGGUGUGUGAUCAACUUGCUAGGAAAAUGGAGGAACUGAGGUCGAGGAAAGCCA
RNAcentral lists this long non-coding RNA (689 nucleotides) under Brassica rapa (field mustard). RNAcentral's name for it is "long non-coding RNA (BRAP_LNC007307)". The record is from RNAcentral. Lineage: Eukaryota; Viridiplantae; Streptophyta; Magnoliopsida; Brassicales; Brassicaceae.